AUAGCGUAUAUUAAAGUUGUUGCAGUUAAAAAGCUCGUAGUUGAAUUUUAGGCCUGGUUGGACGGUCUGCUCUAGGGUUUGUACUGUCCUGACCGGGUCUUACCUUCUGGUGAGCUGUCGUAUUGUUUACUCAGUGCGGCAGGGAACCAGGACUUUUACUUUGAAAAAAUUAGAGUGUUUAAAGCAGGCAUUCGCUUGAAUACAUUAGCAUGGAAUAAUAGAAUAGGACUUUGGUUCUAUUUUGUUGGUUUCUAGGACCGAAGUAAUGAUUAAUAGGGAUAGUUGGGGGCAUUAGUAUUUAAUUGUCAGAGGUGAAAUUCUUGGAUUAAUUGAAGACUAACUACUG
This 346-nucleotide ribosomal RNA is filed under the name uncultured eukaryote. Its description in RNAcentral is "SSU rRNA". It matches the Rfam family "Eukaryotic small subunit ribosomal RNA", at positions 594 to 945 of the family's 1831-position model. The record is from RNAcentral.